UACGAAGGGGGCUAGCGUUGCUCGGAAUCACUGGGCGUAAAGCGCACGUAGGCGGCGUCUUAAGUCAGAGGUGAAACCCCCGGGCUCAACUCGGGGCCUGCAGGCGAAACUGCCGUGCUGGAGUGCGGAAGAGGUGAGUGGAAUUCCCGGUGUAGCGGUGAAAUGCGCAGAUAUCAGGAGGAACACCGGUGGCGAAGGCGGGUCUCUGGGCCGAUACUGACGCUGAGGAGCGAAAGCGUGGGGAGCGAACAGG
This 253-nucleotide ribosomal RNA is filed under the name uncultured bacterium. RNAcentral describes it as "partial 16S ribosomal RNA". It matches the Rfam family "Bacterial small subunit ribosomal RNA", at positions 524 to 776 of the family's 1533-position model. The record is from RNAcentral.